UGCCAGCCGCCGCGGUAAUACGGAGGUUGCAAGCGUUGUUCUGAAUAACUGGGCGUAAAGGGAGUGCAGGCGGCCAAGUCAGUCUGAAGUGAAAGUCCGGGGCUCAACUCCGGAAGUGCUUCGGAUACUGCUUGGCUUGAGUACACGAGAGGUGAGUGGAAUUCCAGGUGUAGCGGUGAAAUGCGUAGAUAUCUGGAGGAACACCGGUGGCGAAAGCGGCUCACUGGCGUGAUACUGACGCUGAGGCUCGAAAGCGUGGGUAGCGAACGGGAUUAGAUA
RNAcentral lists this ribosomal RNA (279 nucleotides) under uncultured bacterium. RNAcentral describes it as "partial 16S ribosomal RNA". It matches the Rfam family "Bacterial small subunit ribosomal RNA", at positions 506 to 784 of the family's 1533-position model. The record is from RNAcentral.